GAUGAACGCUGGCGGCGUGCCUAAUACAUGCCAGUCGAGCGAACGGACGAGAAGCUUGCUUCUCUGAUGUAAGCGGCGGACGGGUGAGUAACACGUGGAUAACCGACCUAUAAGACUGGGAUAAAUUCGGGAAACCGGAGCUAAUACCGGAUAAUAUUUUGAACUGCAUUGUUCAAAAGUGAAAGACGGUCUUGCUGUCACUUAUGGAUGGAUCCGCGCUGCAUUAGCUAGUUGGUAAGGUAACGGCUUACCAAGGCAACGAUGCAUAGCCGACCUGAGAGGGUGAUCGGCCACACUGGAACUGAGACACGGUACAGACUCCUACGGGAGGCAGCAGUAGGGAAUCUUCCGCAAUGGGCGAAAGCCUGACGGAGCAACGCCGCGUGAGUGAUGAAGGUCUUCGGAUCGUAAAACUCUGUUAUUAGGGAAGAACAUAUGUGUAAGUAACUGUGAACAUCUUGACGGUACCUAAUCAGAAAGCCACGGCUAACUACGUG
RNAcentral lists this ribosomal RNA (497 nucleotides) under uncultured bacterium. Its description in RNAcentral is "partial 16S ribosomal RNA". It matches the Rfam family "Bacterial small subunit ribosomal RNA", at positions 28 to 507 of the family's 1533-position model. The record is from RNAcentral.